RNAcentral lists this unclassified non-coding RNA (219 nucleotides) under Hevea brasiliensis (rubber tree). The record is from RNAcentral. Lineage: Eukaryota; Viridiplantae; Streptophyta; Magnoliopsida; Malpighiales; Euphorbiaceae.
GCUGCUCAACAAGGUACAUAUCUUGCUAGAUGCUUUAACCGCUGGGAUCAAUGCAAAAGUAAUCCUGAAGGACCUCGCCGUUUUAAAAGCUCUGGACGUCAUGAAUUUCUUCCCUUCGAGUAUCGUCAUUUAGGGCAAUUCGCCCCUUUAGGUGGAGAUCAAGCAGCAGCAGAACUUCCCGGAGACUGGGUUUCUAUGGGCCAUAGCACACAGUGGCUA